AUGCUUUCAACAAGAAAUUUCAAUACACUGUUUUUAGUUUCAAAAGUAUCUCAUGUUUUAUUUAUACAAUCAGUAUUUAUGACAUUUUACUACAAGCAUUUGGGUCCAAUAUAUAUGUUGUGAGUAAUUUGGUUACUUGUUAUCCUGCUAGGUUUAUAGUGUUUACCUGCUAUCUCAGGUCACUUGUUAUCCAUAUACCUGUAUGUUUAUAUAGUGUUUACCUGCUAUCUCAGGUCACUUGUUAUCCAUAUACCUGUAGGUUUAUAUAGUGUUAGCCUGCUACCUCAGGUCACUUGUUAUCCAUAUACCUGUAGGUUUACAUAGUGUUUACCUGCUAUCUCAGGUCACUUGUUAUCCAUAUAAAUAACAAGUGUCAUCUAUUGUAACCAUCAAUAUAAUGAAUAACAGAAUUCAGUUACAGCAAUAUGGAGUUCAUCUCUCUCUCUUUCAAACACCUUCAAAAAAAGGAAAGUAAACAAUAUUAAACCUCUCUUAAAGUUCCGACUUUGUGAAGUUUUUAGUGGAUUUUCCAUAUGUUUAACAAGUGGUUCAAAAUAGGCCUAUCAAAUAAGGUUCUAACAUAGUUAUAGAAAAAAUGGAGAGAAUCCAACUCGUCAAUUCUAAAGAAAUUUAAACAUAUAUUUAAGAAAAGAGAUUCUAUUAUCAAGAUUUACAAUUUUGAACUAGGAUUGGUGGGGUGUGCCAGGCUAUUGCCAUAGUGCAACGCAAAAGCAACACUUGAGAGAUAAAUUUAAUAUCGUGUGGACCAUUGGCCCACAUAUCAGAUAUUAAACUGAUAAGAACAGAUACUACACUUGAUCUUAGCCAAAAGGCCGAGAAAGGUAUGAGUUGAAAACUAUGCUAGCUGUGUGUUUUAUAUCUGACAUCUACUAUGUUUCUUCCUUCACUAACCGAGGUGGGACUCUUAUACAACUCUUAUGCAGCAACUUGGACAUUUAUUUCCCUUUCCUUUCAUAACUAAAGACUUGCUAACACAUCUCAAUUACAUUAAUAACUCAUUCUCAUCACUUCCAUUUGCCUACCUGACAACAUCACAUGUAAUGCAUAUAUCGAUUGCAAUACAAUAUUUACCUCAUUCCUUAUUUUUGCUUCACAUUAAUUUUGCUUAAUUAUUAAAAAUUUCUUCAUAUACAAUACCUCCUCUCUCAUCCUGAAACAUAUUAGUUUGAUGCCAUAUUCAUUCUUGGGAGCAACUUGCUUACAUCUAUUUGUUCCAAUAUAAGCUCUAACAAUGCUCUUUUGUUCAUUGUUCCAUUCACUUAUAAAUAUCAGUUUCGAUAUUACUGAACUAUUUUUAAGCAUGAACGUUAACUAUUUUAAAAAUUGCCUUCAUUCUGUUUCAUAAGUUUUUCAAUAAAGAACUAUUGCUUCUCUAUUGUCCUCUUAAUCUGUUUUGCCUAGCAUUUCAUAAUAAUGAUAAUGGUGUUUUGCCACCAUUUCUUUAGCACAUUUUGGCAUUAAUUUUAUGAAGUGGGUAAAUAAAACAUAACACUUUCAGCCUCUGCUUAUGGAUCUGAAGACAGGAGGAGACAUGCUUGUUUAUAGAUGGAUUGGAUCUAAUUGCUCCUAAAUUAGCUGAGGGUGAACCCUCUCCUAUUGCAGGGCUAUAGAGUAAAAGGGUUUUCUAGGCCUUUGUUAGAUCUAAGCAAAUCAUUUGCUAAGGUGAUUGAAAGAGCCUUUGGACGACCUCUGCACCUCCUAUUGAUCCAUAUGCAAAUGAUAUUAACUUUUUGCUUGCAUCUUAUUUGAUUCUUUAUGUUGGUCUUACUGGAUAUCAUAGCUGUUGUGAUUUUAAGGUGCCCCUUAAUAUUAUGGUAAAAUACAAGCAAAUACAUACAGUUGUGUAAACUUCUAUAGUUUAUAUAUUACAACUGCAAUUGUGUGUUAUAAUGUUGCAUGUUAUGUAUCAGCUAGUUGUAGAAGAUUCUUGCUGGUUGUAGAAAAAGGACGUAGUACCCAUACAUAGGGGUCUUAUAUAAUAACUUCAAUGUACUUUUGUUUGUUGAAUAGAAUUGAAGUAUAUGGUUCUUAACUUAGAUACUAACUAGAUUGAGAGAUGGAUAAAGAGGUUACAAUUUCCUAAACGGAUAAAGAAAUUCUCCCUCAAAAUUUGACAUUAGAAUAGGAAGGGGCCGCGCGAACGCAGGCCCCCAAUGCAACAAAUUAUGAUGUAGGUUCCACCACUUGGGUAGACCUUAGGAUAGCACCCCUCCUAAGUGCAAUGGAGGCCACAAUCCUAGGCCAUGGUCCUUCAUGAUCAACCAUUGACCCCAUCCAGGUAAGUAAGUUACAAUGUACGUAUUCAUUUUGUUUUAUACUCUUGCUUCUCUCGAUACCUUUCACCUUCUUUUGAUGUGGGGCUCAACUGCUACUAGUAGUUGGCAAUGUAUUUCCCACCCUCUUAACUACCCUAUUCUAUACCACUGCAUUAUAAGAAAACUAUUUAGACUUAACUCCAACUUGUGCUGAAGUUGUUUUUUCGCUGCGUGUAGUCAAAUGGUGCACAUGAUUUCACAAAAUCAACUACACUAACAAAUUAGUUAAUAACUUUAUCAAAGAAAGUGAUUAAAUUUAAGGUGUGGUUUUAGUACUUGGACUGCAGAAAGUAUGAUUCAGCUUUACUUUCUACUUUUAAAUAAUUAACUUGUAUUACAUUCUAAGUAGUGCUAUAACAUUCUCUCUCCUUUAUAUCUCCAUUGGGAAACAGUUCAUUUUGACUUAAGACUGAGUAAUGUUAUCUGAACAUCACAAAUUCUCCAAGUUCCUGAACACAGUAUAUAAAAUACAUUCAAAACAAUAGUUGACGUGACUAAAAUUUAAAAAUAACACAAUCAUUUGUCUAUACGGUAAAUAUAGUUGGACGGAGCAAGCAGAAAGAUUCAAGACUAUUUUUGAAAAUAGUUACUUUAACCAAUGUCUUGCUUGUCCAAUAUCUUAUGCCAAGGUUAGGCACUGGUUGAACUUAAUUCUCAGUAACUAAAGAUGGGGGUGUUUGAUGUAGCAAUAAAGUAUUUUCAAUAAAGUAGAGAGAAUUGUGUAGCUCUAUAUGUUUGAGUUAAGAGUUGAAGGAGUUAUAAGAAAAAUUUGAUGAAUCAUUAAUCAAUGUCAUCAAAUCAUUUAUUGGAAUAUUUAAUAAGAAAUAACCCCUUUGCAUAGGCAUAAGGAAAUGGUUUAGCAGUAUGAUUCUCUCACAUUUAAUUUUCUAGUAGUGUUUCAUUAUUUACCAAUCGUCAGACGAAAUGAUAAUUUAUGAAUAUAUUGAUAGAAUGAUGGUGCCAAAAGGGUUGGUUAUUAAAAACUUGAAUUGGUUCACUUAGUUGUUUGUGGAUUUCAAUCUUUUGCCCAAAAUCAUAUUCUGGAGCCAAUUUUAUCCUAUAAAGUUUUUUUCCAAACUUGCAGACAUUGGGUUAAGUAUGGUCUGAUAGUUCACCAAUAAUUAAACUGUUAGUUCACUAAUUUCUUGCCCCUGCAUUCAGUAGAAGUAAACAAAACAUAUGCAUAAAAAUAGAUCAUCUGGUUAAAUGUCAUUAAAUUUGAACUAGGUUUGGUGGGGUGUGCCAGGCUAUUGCAAUAGUGCAACACAAAAGCGACACUUGAGAGACCCAAUAGCAAGCUAUUGUGGUGGACUCUCCCCCUCAAGAAAUAAAUUUAAUAUCGUGUGAACCAUUGGCCCACAUAUCAGAUAUUAAACUGAUAAGAACAGAUACUACACUUGAUCUUAGCCAAAAGGCCGAGAAAGGUAUGAGUUCUAAUACUUGAUAAAUGUGUGUUUUAUAUAUGACAUUUGUUAUGUUUCUUACUUCACUAUCCAAGGUGGGACUUUUAUGCAGUUUUGGAUUCAUUCGAACACAUUUUCCCUUCUUACUUUGAAGAUCUCCAAAUUACAUACUAACAUUGUUUCAAUAUCAAAGACUUACUGAAAGCUUAUAUAUGAAUCUUGUAAACAGUUUAGAUAAGAUAUCACAGUGACGCAAUUUAUCUUCAAACCAUCACUUGUUGAACUCCUGGAAUCAGAUUCAAAUAAAAUGCCCCCCAUUGGAUCUGGUUUACUUCCUGGUGACAACCAUCCCAAUUGGCUAACCUUCAAUAGCAGCUCUGCAGCUGUCUUCUGUAACUUUCGAAGUACCUCAAUUGGGAUGGGCGUAAUUUGAAGACAAAUCAUGUGCAUUGUCUAUUCUUCUUCCCCAUACAAUACAACAACAGAAGGUUUUAAUUUUUUAGUCGUUAAAUGCACAAAGAACACCAUUCAGGUCUACUAGAGAGAUUCAUUGUUUGCAUUUUUUGACGAGGUGGAGUAGCGGAGAGUGAUAUCAAAUAUAGAACCGGGAAACGAAAUUAAGGUGGUUGUUCUUACUUCUUACAAAUGAACUCACUGUGAAGAAGACAACAAUUUAUCUUGUAUAUGAUGAACCAAGUGAUGAAAAGGCGAAGCACUGCGAUGUGCCCGAUGAGAAUGGCGUUAUUUCUAGUGGUGAUGAAACUGUUUAGAUAUUUGGCAGGCUCUUCUCCGCUCUUCCUUCCCUUGCUCGGACUGUUCUGUUUUCACGGCCAUUCUGGUUCUGUUUGGCUGGUGGUAUCAUGGUUUGGUCAUCUCGGUGCCAGUCUGACAAACAAAAAUGAGGCAACCCUAUUCUAAAGGAACUAGGAUCCACAAGCUCUGAAGGAGUCAAUAAUCCAAAAUCUUUAGACGAAAAUCCUUUUUGAUUCAUGGACAAGAAAUGAAGAAACAUGGUCACAAGAGGCAACCGACAUUUCCCCGAAGGACGGUUUGAUUUCAAUCAACAUGGUUUGGUUCUAGUUAUAUCAAAUUCCUGAAGCCAUAGGAUGAUGAUUCCAAACAAGAGGAGAAAGCAGAAACUACCAAAGACAAGGACCAACAAGAGAGGAAAUAAAAGUUAAAAGGGUAUUAUGAACAAGUAUUAAAUACAGGUAUUUCGGUCCAUAUAAUCAGGAUCGGUGAAGGGAUUUCUAAAGGAUUUCGACAAAGCAAAGCUAAAAUCAUAAGAAUUUGUCUGGGCUUUUAAUAGACACAUCAUGUUAAUAUGAAAUAUAUAAUUUGAAG
Long non-coding RNA from Vicia villosa (hairy vetch), 5083 nucleotides. RefSeq lists it as uncharacterized. NCBI's taxonomy places the organism in Eukaryota, Viridiplantae, Streptophyta, Magnoliopsida, Fabales, Fabaceae. The record is from RefSeq and is a predicted model, not a curated record. The transcript is spliced from 4 exons.